Molecule: unclassified non-coding RNA, 200 nt
Filed under: soil metagenome
Description: partial contains internal transcribed spacer 2 and large subunit ribosomal RNA
Source: RNAcentral
AUCACUACUCAAGCCUGGCUUGCUGUUGGACCUUUUGUCGUUGAAAGACAGGCCCUAAAGAUAAUGAGGCGUCAGUUGGACCCUAAAUGCAACGAGCUUUAACCAGCACGCAUCUUAGCUGGACCUUUUGACCCGGUCUUUUUUGAACCAAUUUUUAAAAGGUUGACCUCGGAUCAGGUAGGAAUACCCGCUGAACUUAA